This 478-nucleotide ribosomal RNA is filed under the name uncultured bacterium. Its description in RNAcentral is "partial 16S ribosomal RNA". It matches the Rfam family "Bacterial small subunit ribosomal RNA", at positions 28 to 523 of the family's 1533-position model. The record is from RNAcentral.
GACGAACGCUGGCGGCGUGCUUAACACAUGCAAGUCGAACGGUAAGGCCCUUCGGGGUACACGAGUGGCGAACGGGUGAGUAACACGUGGGUGAUCUGCCCUGCACUUCGGGAUAAGCCUGGGAAACUGGGUCUAAUACCGGAUAGCACCACUGCCUGCAUGGGUGGUGGUGGAAAGCUUUUGCGGUGUGGGAUGGGCCCGCGGCCUAUCAGCUUGUUGGUGGGGUGAUGGCCUACCAAGGCGACGACGGGUAGCCGGCCUGAGAGGGUGACCGGCCACACUGGGACUGAGAUACGGCCCAGACUCCUACGGGAGGCAGCAGUGGGGAAUAUUGCACAAUGGGCGCAAGCCUGAUGCAGCGACGCCGCGUGAGGGAUGACGGCCUUCGGGUUGUAAACCUCUUUCAGCACCGACGAAGCGCAAGUGACGGUAGGUGCGGAAGAAGGACCGGCCAACUACGUGCCAGCCGCCGCGGUAA